AAAAUUCGGAGAAGCGCACUCCUCCUCCCAGCGCCCUCCGAUGGACUGACAACACUCCUCCUCCCAGUUGUCAGUCACCCCUAAUGGCGCUCACCGGAUCCUCCCCGGUGGGCGUUUGGU
This 120-nucleotide small RNA is filed under the name Rhizobium tibeticum. Its description in RNAcentral is "Alphaproteobacterial ar14". It matches the Rfam family "Alphaproteobacterial ar14". Rfam says of the family: Smr14C2 was renamed NfeR1 (Nodule Formation Efficiency RNA) highly expressed in salt stress and during the symbiotic interaction on legume roots. Lineage: Bacteria; Pseudomonadati; Pseudomonadota; Alphaproteobacteria; Hyphomicrobiales; Rhizobiaceae. The record is from Rfam by way of RNAcentral.